This 775-nucleotide ribosomal RNA is filed under the name uncultured bacterium. RNAcentral's name for it is "bacterial SSU rRNA". It matches the Rfam family "Bacterial small subunit ribosomal RNA", at positions 8 to 796 of the family's 1533-position model. The record is from RNAcentral.
AGAGUUUGAUCAUGGCUCAGGACGAACGCUGGCGGCGUGCUUAACACAUGCAAGUCGAACGGAAGGGCCCCAGCUUGCUGGGGUACUCGAGUGGCGAACGGGUGAGUAACACGUGGGUGAUCUGCCCUGCACUCUGGGAUAAGCCUGGGAAACUAGGUCUAAUACCGGAUAGGACCGUGCUUUAGUGUGUGCGGUGGAAAGUUUUUCGGUGCAGGAUGAGCCCGCGGCCUAUCAGCUUGUUGGUGGGGUAAUGGCCUACCAAGGCGGCGACGGGUAGCCGGCCUGAGAGGGUGUACGGCCACAUUGGGACUGAGACACGGCCCAGACUCCUACGAGAGGCAGCAGUGGGGAAUACUGCACAAUGGGCGCAAGCCUGAUGCAGCGACGCCGCGUGGGGGAUGACGGCCUUCGGGUUGUAAACCCCUUUCGGCAGGGACGAAGCUUUUGUGACGGUACCUGCAUAAGAAGCACCGGCUAACUACGUGCCAGCAGCCGCGGUAAUACGUAGGGUGCGAGCGUUGUCCGGAAUUACUGGGCGUAAAGAGCUCGUAGGUGGUUUGUCGCGUCGUCUGUGAAAUCCCGGGGCUUAACUCCGGGCGUGCAGGCGAUACGGGCAUAACUUGAGUGCUGUAGGGGAGACUGGAAUUCCUGGUGUAGCGGUGAAAUGCGCAGAUAUCAGGAGGAACACCGAUGGCGAAGGCAGGUCUCUGGGCAGUAACUGACGCUGAGGAGCGAAAGCAUGGGUAGCGAACAGGAUUAGAUACCCUGGUAGUCC